This 73-nucleotide transfer RNA is filed under the name Camelus bactrianus (Bactrian camel). It matches the Rfam family "tRNA". Rfam says of the family: Transfer RNA (tRNA) molecules are approximately 80 nucleotides in length. Their secondary structure includes four short double-helical elements and three loops (D, anti-codon, and T loops). Further hydrogen bonds mediate the characteristic L-shaped molecular structure. tRNAs have two regions of fundamental functional importance: the anti-codon, which is responsible for specific mRNA codon recognition, and the 3' end, to which the tRNAs corresponding amino acid is attached (by aminoacyl-tRNA synthetases). tRNAs cope with the degeneracy of the genetic code in two manners: having more than one tRNA (with a specific anti-codon) for a particular amino acid; and 'wobble' base-pairing, i.e. permitting non-standard base-pairing at the 3rd anti-codon position. The record is from Rfam by way of RNAcentral. Lineage: Eukaryota; Metazoa; Chordata; Mammalia; Artiodactyla; Camelidae. RNAcentral also lists the same sequence under 2 other names.
GAGGGGAUAGCUCAAGUGGUAGAGUACAUGCCUCGCAUGCACGAGGUCCUGGGUUCAAUUCCAGGUACCUCCU